RNAcentral lists this transfer RNA (77 nucleotides) under hydrothermal vent metagenome. RNAcentral's name for it is "tRNA-Lys-TTT". It matches the Rfam family "tRNA". From Rfam's summary of the family: Transfer RNA (tRNA) molecules are approximately 80 nucleotides in length. The record is from RNAcentral.
GGGCCGCUAGCUCAGUUGGUUAGAGCAUCUGCCUUUUAAGCAGAGGGUCGUUGGUUCGAAUCCAACGCGGCUCACCA